This is a long non-coding RNA of Oncorhynchus gorbuscha (pink salmon), 1179 nucleotides long. RefSeq lists it as uncharacterized. Lineage: Eukaryota; Metazoa; Chordata; Actinopteri; Salmoniformes; Salmonidae. The record is from RefSeq and is a predicted model, not a curated record. The transcript has 10 exons.
CAAACCUCUCAUAAUAGUAAUCCUGUUUUGUGCACCCUGAGUGCGUUGGGUUGGUCUGCGUGUGGAGUUGCCAGUGCCAUCAUAUCCUGCUUUGAUGCGAAUAAGUUCGGAGAGGCUGGUCCUUUUCUACGAAACACUGAUCUGGAGUUGCUGGCUGCGCAAAUCGUCUCAUUUGAUGGUAAAACGCCAGCAUGGUUCUAGACGAAAAGGAGGCUUACAUUGAGGAUAAGAACAAGCAGCUCGACGGAGACAAUGUUAUCGUUGACACCAAAGAUAGAAGAAGGAUAUUCUGGAAAAUCCAGUGAUAUUUCAAUAACCUGGGGAGAGGAGCUACCAUAUCUACUAUCAGAUCAUGUCUCAGAAGAAACCAGAACUUAUUGGUGCUGACAAAGCCUCCUCCCUAAUGGAAGUCAGUUCAGCUGACCUCAUCAAGGGGCUCCUGCACCCCAGUGUGAAGGUGGGGAACGAUUACGUGGUAAAGCCCCUGUGGGAUCAUGUCCAUCCUUGAAGAUGAGUGCAUGUCACAGGAAGGCCAAAAAGAUCAUCAAGGACAACAACCACCCGAGCCUGUUCACCCCGCUACCAUCCAGAAGGCGAGGCGACAGACAACAACUUUAAAGCCAAGUUUUACGACAUCCAUAUUGGAAAGUCAGCUAACUUCCAGAAGCCACAACCUGAUAAAAAGAGCAAGUACAAGGCCCACUGAGCUGAUGCACCACACUGAAGUGAAGCCCUCCAACAAGCUGCCGGCCUGCCGAUAAUAAGAACUAUAUUGGCUCUGACUCAGACCAAAUGACUGGAGGCAAGGAGAAUAGAAAGAAGGCUGCCUCGUCCCAGUGUGUCACAGCUACGUAAGGUCUGCUGGGGCAGUUGGAGGAGAUGAGGGAUGAGCGUCUGGCUAAGGUCCUCCCGCUGCUCCAGACUGUCAGCAGAGGAUAGAGCUCCAGAAUGUGAUGGCGAGAAGGAAAGAUUUUGAAAUUAACCAGAUCACCACCAAGAUUGAAGAUGAACAAGCCUUGACCAUUCAGCUCCAGAAAAAGAUCAAAGAAUAACAGGUUCGUAUCGAGGAGCUGUAGUCUGACCGGACGUCCAUUGCCAAGGUGGAGAAGCAGCUGGGUGAUGUCAAGAUGGAGGCGAACGAUCUGGCAUUAAACGCGGAACAGCUCUCCAAGAGCAAGG